Molecule: ribosomal RNA, 273 nt
Filed under: uncultured bacterium
Lineage: Bacteria
Description: partial 16S ribosomal RNA
Rfam family: Bacterial small subunit ribosomal RNA
Source: RNAcentral
AUACGGAGGUGCAAGCGUUAUUCGGAAUCACUGGGCGUAAAGGACGCGUAGGCGGGUUGGCAAGUCAGAUGUGAAAUCCUACAGCUUAACUGUAGAACUGCAUUUGAAACUGCUAACCUAGAGUAUGGGAGGGGGAGAUGGAAUUAGUGGUGUAGGGGUAAAAUCCGUAGAUAUCACUAGGAAUACCGAAAGCGAAGGCGAUCUCCUGGAACAUAACUGACGCUAAGGCGUGAAAGCGUGGGGAGCAAACAGGAUUAGAUACCCUAGUAGUCC